AGGGAUGAAGCUCCCUCCUGCCGCUCAGACAUGAACAUCACAGGGGCCUGGGGGCGGGGCUACACCGGGAAGGGUGUCGUGGUUACCAUUUUGGACGACGGCAUUGAGAGAAACCACGCCGAUCUCGUGCAGAAUUAUGAUGCUAAGGCUAGCUAUGAUGUCAUCGGGCAUGACCAUGACCCAAUGCCUCCAUAUAAUUCCAGCGAAGAGAACAAUCACGGAACGCGAUGCGCCGGGGUAGUGGCAGCGUCCGCCAACAACUCCGUGUGCGGAGUCGGAGUCGCUUUCAACGCCAAAAUCGGGGGUGAGCACCGCCGCUGCCGUGGCGACGGUUACGACG
Molecule: long non-coding RNA, 340 nt
Organism: Anguilla rostrata (American eel)
Lineage: Eukaryota; Metazoa; Chordata; Actinopteri; Anguilliformes; Anguillidae
Exons: 3
Source: RefSeq, a predicted model, not a curated record